CCUACGGGUGGCAGCAGUGAGGAAUAUUGGUCAAUGGGCGCGAGCCUGAACCAGCCAAGUCGCGUGAGGGAUGAAGGUUCUAUGGAUCGUAAACCUCUUUUAUAAGGGAAUAAAGUGUGGGACGUGGCCUAUUUUGUAUGUACCUUAUGAAUAAGGAUCGGCUAACUCCGUGCCAGCGGCCGCGGUAAUACGGAGGGUCCGAGCGUUAUUCGGAUUUAUUGGGGUUAAAGGGUGCGUAGGCGGGCUUUUAAGUCAGCGGUGAAAAUCUGUGGAUCAAACAUAGAAUUGCCGUUGAAACUGGGGGGCUUGAGUAUGUUUGAGGCAGGCGGAAUGCGUGGUGUAGCGGUGAAAUGCUUAGAUAUCACGCAGAACCCCGAUUGCGAAGGCAGCCUGCCGAGCCAUGACUGACGCUGAUGCACGAAAGCGUGGGGAUCAAACAGGAUUAGAUACCCCAGUAGUC
This 460-nucleotide ribosomal RNA is filed under the name uncultured bacterium. Its description in RNAcentral is "partial 16S ribosomal RNA". It matches the Rfam family "Bacterial small subunit ribosomal RNA", at positions 338 to 795 of the family's 1533-position model. The record is from RNAcentral.